This 508-nucleotide ribosomal RNA is filed under the name uncultured Glomeraceae. RNAcentral's name for it is "SSU rRNA". It matches the Rfam family "Eukaryotic small subunit ribosomal RNA", at positions 569 to 1078 of the family's 1831-position model. Lineage: Eukaryota; Fungi; Glomeromycota; Glomeromycetes; Glomerales; Glomeraceae. The record is from RNAcentral.
AGCAGCCGCGGUAAUUCCAGCUCCAAUAGCGUAUAUUAAAGUUGUUGCAGUUAAAAAGCUCGUAGUUGAAUUUCGGAAUCGACGGAUUGGUCGCGCCUUCGGUGUGUACUGGUCUUGCCGGUUUCUCCCUUCUGACGAACCACGAUGUCAUUAAUUUGGUGUCGUGGGGAAUCAGGACUGUUACUUUGAAAAAAUUAGAGUGUUUAAAGCAGGCAUUAGCUUGAAUACAUUAGCAUGGAAUAAUGAAAUAGGACGUUUGAUCUUAUUUUGUUGGUUUCUAGGAUCGACGUAAUGAUUAAUAGGGAUAGUUGGGGGCAUUAGUAUUCAAUUGUCAGAGGUGAAAUUCUUGGAUUUAUUGAAGACUAACUACUGCGAAAGCAUUUGCCAAGGAUGUUUUCAUUAAUCAAGAACGAAAGUUAGGGGAUCGAAGACGAUCAGAUACCGUCGUAGUCUUAACCAUAAACUAUGCCGACUAGGGAUCGGAUGAUGUUAAUUUUUUAAUGACUCA